AAUGAAAAGUUAUCAUUUGCAAAGUGACCUUUGAACAAGAUUUGUAUGACUUCAUAUCUUUAAUUUCUUUAUAUGUAGCCUAUUUGUAGGACUUCAUAUCUUUAAAAUGUUUAAUCCUUUUCCCCUCCUGCUGGUAAAUAAAGACAUGUAAACUUUGACCAAAGCUGAAAUGCAUCUAAUCCAAAUGUGAUUUUGAUGUUGACUGAAUAUUGUGAGGAAGGUAAAUAAGGCAGAGAUCAUUAACCAGAUUUAUGACUGGAAUGGACUGAGCAGCUGCUAUUGAGCUGAUUUUAAGCCUUCAGUAAACUGCCAGCAUCAGUGUGUACAAGAACUAACUUGCAUCAACCGAACUAUUGCCUGGAUAACAGUGUGGCAGGUGCCAAAUCCUGCUGGAAAAUUAGAUCAGCAUCUUCAAAGAGUUGGUCAGCAGAAGGAAGCAUGAAGGGCUCCAAAAUUUCUUGGUAAACGGGAGCAGUGACUUUGGUUUUCAAAAAACACAAUGGACAAAAACCAGAAGAUGACAUUGCACCCCAAAUCAUCACAGACUGUGGAAACUUAACACUGGACUUCAAGCAACUUGGGCUAUGAGCUUCUCCAACCUUCCUCCAGACUAGGACCUUGGUUUCAAAAGGAAAUACAAAACUUGCUUUGAUCUGAAAAGAAGACUUUGGGCCACUGGGCAACAGUCCAGUUCUUCCUCUCCUUAUACCAGAAAUCCAGAGCGUGCUUCAGUUUACCUCUCUGGCUGGAACAGCGCCAAGCUCACCAGUUCCCUCUAUCAGUUCCUUUCCAUCAACCGACAUGCUGCCUUUGGAACUUAAUUUCUUAAAAUAUCUGAAUGUGCUCUUUUCAAGCCUACUUAUCAGGAAUAUACUUUUUCUAUAAACUAACCACAGGCAACAAUUGCUCUGCUAUCUCUUAUUCUCACACAUCCAAGCCUGUUAAAGGCCUAUGAAACAAGAACCUAUGCCAAACCACCAAACGCCUACCACUAACCUACUUCUUUUCUGCAUAAUCUCAUAGGAUCAUGCUAUCCAAAUUCAGAGACUGAUCAAACUUUAGACUUCAUGUUCUCAUUAGCAUUCUUCGGCAUCCUACGAUGCUCAGAACUCACUCCAACUCCUCUACAUUCAAUCCUUCUAUCCACUUCCUGUACAUCUUCACACUUCAAAGAAGCAAACUCACCAAUUAGGAACCCCCAUCCCGAGUUUCUCUGAGCCAUCAAUUCAAGAUGCCCAGAGCAACCUGACCAUCAUCCUAUCCUACAUUUUCAUCCUCUUCCAACUCAUCCCUAACAUUCUGAACAAUAAAUGAUGUAUUUACAUAUUUGGUUGUGUUGUGGUCUUUGCUCCUGAAAAUGCUAUUAAACUGUCACUUUUCUCUUAAUCUCUGUUCUUACAUUGCACUGUCUCUCUUUUUAUUUCUUACUUUUACACAUACACUCAAGGGUCUACAGUUGAGCUGGUAUUGUUUUGUGUUUGAGAGAGACAGAGAUGUUUGCUUGUGUCUGUGAUAAAUGGCAGUGCCUGCCAUUUUAGCAAAGGUAUGGCCGCUCUGUUACACCCUGCUGUGGUAAUUAUUACAGAUUCCAUAGACCAGAGGUAGAAAAUUGAAAAUAUAAAUUAUUUAUGGUGCACAGAGGUCUGUCUUCUCUGUCUUUGUUGGCCACAAAGCAUCAGAUAUGCUGGGAUGUCCUUUAGUGUGGUGUCUUGCUCUUGUUCUUCAGUGAUUAACCCAUUUAGACACAGUGGAGUGGAACUCUCCUCAACAUGGAACAUAGAUGGAUUUUUGGAGAGGAAGGGUUUCAGGAAAGUGCUUGCAGUUUGUUUGUAGAGCAGAACAAUCUGCUCCAAGUGUAAACUAUGGCCCUGACUGCUGAGCAGCCUGGAGAUAAGUUGGUUUGACCUUUUCAACUCCAAGUCGUGGAGAUGUUGCUUGUCAUUUUAGCAUUGUCAGACGUCAGAGCUCUUGCAUGAGACUUUGUAAACAGUACUUUACACAGCUUGUACUGUAAAAAUACUGAUUGCCUUACAUGUCAUUUUAUUAAUAAUAUAUGAAGAGUUUGUUUCCAAAACGCAAUAAAUCCAUUUAGAAUAA
This is a long non-coding RNA of Carassius gibelio (silver crucian carp), 2097 nucleotides long. RefSeq lists it as uncharacterized. Lineage: Eukaryota; Metazoa; Chordata; Actinopteri; Cypriniformes; Cyprinidae. The record is from RefSeq and is a predicted model, not a curated record. The transcript is spliced from 3 exons.